GAUGAACGCUGGCGGCGUGCCUAAUACAUGCAAGUCGAGCGAACAGAUGAGGAGCUUGCUCCUCUGACGUUAGCGGCGGACGGGUGAGUAACACGUGGAUAACCUACCUAUAAGACUGGGAUAACUUCGGGAAACCGGAGCUAAUACCGGAUAAUAUAUUGAACCGCAUGGUUCAAUAGUGAAAGACGGUUUUGCUGUCACUUAUAGAUGGAUCCGCGCCGCAUUAGCUAGUUGGUAAGGUAACGGCUUACCAAGGCAACGAUGCGUAGCCGACCUGAGAGGGUGAUCGACCACACUGGAACUGAGACACGGUCCAGACUCCUACGGCAGGCAGCAGUAGGGAAUCUUCCGCAAUGGGCGAAAGCAUGACGGAGCAACGCCGCGUGAGUGAUGGAAGUCUUCGGAUCGUAAAGCUCUGUUAUUAGGGAAGAACAAAUGUGUAAGUAGCUAUGCACUGCUUGACGGUACCUAAUCAGAAAGCCACGGCUAACUACGUG
This 497-nucleotide ribosomal RNA is filed under the name uncultured bacterium. Its description in RNAcentral is "partial 16S ribosomal RNA". It matches the Rfam family "Bacterial small subunit ribosomal RNA", at positions 28 to 507 of the family's 1533-position model. The record is from RNAcentral.